This 108-nucleotide non-coding RNA is filed under the name Desulfuromonas acetoxidans. RNAcentral's name for it is "SAM-I sequence". It matches the Rfam family "SAM riboswitch aptamer (S box leader)". From Rfam's summary of the family: The SAM riboswitch is found upstream of a number of genes which code for proteins involved in methionine or cysteine biosynthesis in Gram-positive bacteria. The SAM riboswitch acts at the level of transcription termination control. The record is from RNAcentral. RNAcentral also lists the same sequence under 1 other name. Lineage: Bacteria; Pseudomonadati; Thermodesulfobacteriota; Desulfuromonadia; Desulfuromonadales; Desulfuromonadaceae.
GUGUUAUCACGAGUGGUGGAGGGAAUGGCCCUUUGAAACCACAGCAACCGGUCCUGACGUUCAGGAUGACAGGUGCUAAUUCCACCCCCGCAAGGGGACAGAUGAGAC